Molecule: long non-coding RNA, 26158 nt
Filed under: Trifolium pratense (red clover)
Lineage: Eukaryota; Viridiplantae; Streptophyta; Magnoliopsida; Fabales; Fabaceae
Description: long non-coding RNA (TPRA_LNC003503)
Source: RNAcentral
GUAUUUGUGGUUCAACUGUAAUCUUAACCGAAGGAGACUGUGAUGACACUGAAACUUUAUAUGUUGCAGGGGUCCCUACGUUAGUUAAAAUCCUCUUGUAUUGAACAGUGGUUGAUUUGUGAGAACCACCCCUUGCGCCCAAUGCUGUGUCAAAAGGAACUGAAAAAGAUGGGUAAUUGAGAUCUUCCACCCUGUAUUUAAUCUUUUUGUCACAGGUAAACUCUUUUCUUGCAACAAGCUUUAUUUGAAAUGAAGUGUAGUUCAAGGCACAGAGGAAGCUCAAGUAGUCAUCCGCGGUAGUGUCAUACACAAGACCAGGAUCAAGAGCGGCUACUGGANNNNNNNNNNNNNNNNNNNNNNNNNNNNNNNNNNNNNNNNNNNNNNNNNNAUGGUGUGGCAGGUAUCCCAGUAGCGACAUCUUUUAUUGCUUGCCCAUUUUUGUAGGCUCUGUAAGAUGUGGUCAUGAGGGCAGACCUUAUAAUUGCGGGACUCCAUUCUGGAUGAGCUCCUUUAAGAAGAGCCGCUAAGCCACUUACAUGGGGGCAUGACAUGGAUGUGCCAGAGAUGAUGUUGAAGCUCACAUGCCUUGUAUCAUCAGACAAGCCAGUUGGCCCAACUUUCCCACUCCAUCCAGCUAGAAUGUUGACUCCUGGAGCUAUGACGUCUGGUUUGAGUAUUUUUGGCGUGAGUAUAUUUGGUCCUCUAGAGCUGAAAGCUGCCACCACCGGGGAUGGUUGAACCCCUAAUUGGGUACCGCCAAAUGCAAUUUUAGCGGUUGGUUUGAGAGCAGAAGAAACAUACUUCUUUACUUCAUUACUUGCUUUCUCCCCCAAAGCUGCUGCAGGGAGGAGAUAUGAGUCAGCAACUAGCUCUUCCCCAUAAUCUUCUUUGUUUGCUAAAAUCAUCCCAAUUCCUCCUGCACGCUUGACCACCAAACUCUUUUCGGCUCUAGGAUUUCCUCCUCUGUCACAUAUCACUAUUUUUCCUGAAACUUUACUAGGAUUCAAACUAUCUGUGGUGCACAGGCCAUCGGUCGAAUCCUGGCCGACAUUAGCAGCAUAAACAAGCGGCAGUGAAGAAUCAGGUGGCAAUUUUCCAUUGUAAAGAGACACGCCGUUGUAUCUCUUCCCAUUUCCAAGGGUGAUAUAGGCAGGGAAAUCACGGUCUAUAGUUCCAGCACCCACAGUGGUUAUCCAUGGCGCAACAUUAGCCAAAGUUGCUCGACUAGGUCCACCAUUUCCUGCUGACAUGGAUACCAGUAUUCCAUGUUCCAUGGCUGCAAAAGUUCCCAUUGCAACAGUGUCCCUGUAGUAGUCCAUUAAACCUCCACCAAUAGACAUAGAGAGGAUGUUGACACCGUCUUCAAUGGCCUUAUCGAUUCCAGCAGCUAUGUCUGUUGUGAAGCACCCACCAAGCCAACACACUUUGUAAGCGGCCACUCGAGCUUGUGUGGCCAUGCCUUUUGCUGUCCCAGAAGCAAAACCAAAGAGGCUUGCCCCUGCAACUGCAGAACCUGCUGCUGUAGUUGAGGUGUGACUUCCAUGCCCAUCAUCAUCCCUAGGUGACUUUGAUUCUGUCUUUUCAUCAAUGGGUCCAAAAGCUGCCUCAUAGCCUUUAGCAAAAAACCUUGCACCAACAAGUUUUUUGUUACAGUUUGAUGAGUUAAAGUUUUUACCUGUCUCACACUCCCCUUUCCAGCUACUGGGUACUGGUCCAAGUCCAGUGUCGUCGAAGCUUUUUAGUUCAGGCCAUACACCAGUGUCAAUUACUCCAACAACCACCUCACUUUGUUUCCCAUAGGACCCUAGAAGAGUUUUUGUUUUCUCCAAUCCAAGGAACUCAGGUGUUCGAGUUGUGUGAAGCUCAUAUCUUACUUCAGGGAUAACCGAGAGAAUUCCCGGUUGCUUUGUGAGUAAGUCUGCUUCUUGAGUAGUUAGCCUUGUGGAGAAGCCAUGAGCUACAUGUUUGUAGGUAUACAGCAUCUCUGCAGUUUCUGAUACUAAUUUUAGUGAUGAAUCAUACCAUUGGAGAUGAUCAUCGAAACUUGCUGGCAUGUUUAACUUGUCCAUGUGAAUUAUGUAUGUUCUUUUAGGAUUCUGUGUUUUCUUUUCUGCUAUAGUGUAUCUGCUAGAGAAAACUAGCAGCAAAGCCAUCUGAAGACACUUGAAAAUCAGCAUAUUCAUCUUUUAGCUCCAGUGUGAGUUGUAGUUUGGCUUAUUUUGAAUUUGCUUUAGAAUUGCAGGGAUACCACACUAUUUAUUAUUGAUUUGGAACUAUUGAGUCUGCAGAGAUUGGUUGAUUCUUUUUAUUGCCAAUACAUAUUUCAAUUGGGAACACAAAAUAGUGAUGUGACUGUUGCUAUAAAAUAAUAAAAAGUGUUGUGGCCAAUACACAUUUUCUUUCAGUGUUUAUAGUAUCAAUAAAUGGUACCUCAUUAAGAGAAAAAGUGUUUAUUUCUUAACUUAUUUGGUUUAUGGAGUACUUUAUAGGCAUUCUUUUUCAUCUGCUUAAUGAUUUUCCUCCAAGUUUCUAAAUAGUGGGGCAUAUCUUCUAAAUAGUUUUAUAACAGAUAAGCAAAUUUAGUGUGUUAGUGACAUUGAGUUGGAGACCACAUAGUUCCAAAUCAUCAUAGUUUAUAUUAAAAGAUAAUGUACACAGAGAUACGGUGGAUUUUCCAUAUCUCUUCUAUGGAAUUCCUCUUGUUCACUGGCAAACUUUACAUGUCAAACACUCAUUGUUCACUAGUCUAAUUACAAAUAGUAUAUUAAAAAAUAAUUGAAAAGUUGAUUAAAGAUUUGUUCACUAGUCUUGUUUUUUCUGUACAAAAUUAUCAAUGUCUUAGAGCUAUAAUUUGUUUAUGCUGUCAUAGUAUUUAAGAAUUUCUCAAUAAAAAAUUUAUUCUAGCUCCUUGAGUGUUCACAUGAUAAUUCAGGUUUGCCAAUAAAAGUGCGAAACUAAGUUCACAUUACUUUCAUUACAAGUUACUUUAUCAAAACUGAAUACAUACAUAUAAUAUAAGUACAUAUAGGAUAUAUACUACUAUUAAAAUUGUAGACUUUAUUAUAUUUUUGGUUACUGUGGUGUCAUCAAUUUACGAUUUUGGUUCAGUAGUUUCAAUUGCUCAAAUCUCUGUACUUUUUCAAUCAACCAAGUUUGGUUUGGAUUGUAAUAUUCUAUUCAAUUGCUAUUAGAAAUGUUGAUCUAAGCCUCAACUAGUGAAUUUGUCAAGAACAUCAAUUAUAACUAUAUGUUGUGUUGAACAUGAUUGUGAGCAAUUUCGAUAGUUGACUUAUCAUCUUAAAAUAAGUAGAUAGGUCCUUCUUAUUAAAUCUUCGGAUCAUUUAGUACGGCGAGAGAGUUCGAAAUUGGCGAUCUUGUCUUAAGGCGCAGUAAAAAAGACUCCGUACAAUUAAAGUAUUUGGCUCCCAAUUAAGAAGGACCGUACAAGAUCAACGCCAAACAGAGAAUUAGAGAUUAGACUGUGAAUUUAUUUUUUUAAAAUUUCUUUUUGAAAAAAAUUAUAAAUUUGAUAAAGAUAUUUUAUCAGUAAACUGAAAUUUAUUAUAAUUUUUUGUAAUUAAUAAUGCAUGUCAUAUGUCAAAAAUCUGAUCAAAUUUAAUUAAGACCCAAUUUACUUGAUUGAAAAAAGUAUAAAGAGUUGAUUUAAGCAAUUGAAACAAGAUAGGCCAAAACCACAAAACAGUAACAGUGCAUGGGUCAAACCUAUAUUUUAUUUUUAAAAAUAAAAUUACAAACUUGAUCAAUAAAUUUUUUCAAAACAACGGUUGAAUUGAUAUAUUUUAAUAUAAAAAAUUUAUUCAAUAGAAUAAUUCUAAAAAAACACAUGGAGUAAGUGAAAGAGUAAGAGAAUCCACCAAAUAAUUAGUAUAUGAUAGUCAUAGUACUAUACAAUAAUUAUCGUUAUAAACUGUACAACAAACAAUCAUGUAGUAAAGUAAUACACUGCUCCAAUCAUUUACUUUUUUUAGCCAUACUCCAAUCAUGUUGUUACUUUUGAAAAACAGAACUUUUUAUUAGUCAGUUCAGCUGCCAUAUUAUUAGUGGUCUAUUAGACAAAAAAAAAAUUGUUGAAGUAAGUCCGGUCCUUAUUGUAAAAAAAAAAAUACUUUUAAAAUUUAUAAAAUAGACCAAAUGAAUUAAGUAUAAACAUUUUGACUAUAGGAUUUUUACUGUUAAUUAGUGGAGAAUUAGUGGUCUGGCAUUGUUGAAAUUGCAUACUCUUCCUUUGUCUAAUUUAAUGUAAUGCUAAUUAACUAAACAUGGUAUUUCACCCAACUAUCAACAAACCCUGUCAACCACUAGUAAUGGUCCACCAUAAUUUAUAGUGCAAGAACCACUAAGCUUUGCAGCACCCUUGCUUAAAAGAUUUAGGUAAAAUUACACUACAUGUCAUUUAUCUUAUUUUAAAAUAUUUAAUUUAUUUAACUUUUAAAAGAAUAUUUUACAACUAUAUUUCAUAAUCGUUUAGUUGUUACUUUCACAAUUCUCAACUUCUCUCUUUAAUUAUUACAUUUUUCUUAAAUUACAUAAUAUGAUACACAGAAACUAGUUUAUUUGAUGUGAGAAAAUGAAUAUAUUUUAAAAUCACGAUCAACAAAUACCAUUGUAUGCUAUAAAAUUGUCUGCUAUAAAGUUGAUUGUGACAGUGCAUUUUCUUGUUUAUGUCAUGUAAUUAUAACAUUUGACCUCAAUUGACACCCUUUGAUAUCAUGGGUCGCCAUAAGACUAAUCUUUGUGACAAAAACAAUUAGAUGUUUUCUCUUCUCAGCUCCCGUGAAUCUUUUAUACUCUCCAAUAUUUUAAUUUUGCCCUUGCAGAAAACUUCGGUUCGUAGAAACCGAAUUUUUACUAGUGCAAAUUCAGAGUAAAUUUCGGUUUUUAGAAACCGAAAUUUGUUUUCAAGGCAAAAAAAAUUUCGGUUUCUACGAACCGAAGUUUUUUAAAGGGCAAAAUUGGAAAUUCAGGGGGAUAAAAGAUUCACGGGGAGUGGGAAGAGAAAACAUCAAACAAUUAUGAGUGAAAAUAAGUUGUACAAGAAUUUAAUUUGUAUACAUUAAUAGUGUAGAACUUUUUUACACAUGCAUUCAAUAAAAUUACAUAUAGAUGUUUGUGAAGAUAUUUUAAAAACAAAUCUAUAAAACUGAUACUAUAAUAUAAUUUGAUUGAAUACAUGGAUAAAUAAAAAGUUAUAUUGCUCGUGAAUAGAAAUUAAUCUCAAUAGUACAAUUAUUGAACCAUCAUUUCGUCCUAAUCAUAAUAGCUAUACGAAUAUAUUUCCAUACAUCCAAUAGAAAUUGGAUCAGUCUCAAUCAUGGAUUCAUGAUGGAUAUAUUGCAUUGUUGCUUGCUUGUUGGCUGCUACUAAUCGACAUUUUUCAAUCAUGUACUAUCAAAUAACUAAGCUAAGUGUAGUCCAUAGUGGCAGUGACAAUACUCCUAAUAGAUAAAUGUAGAUGAUAGUGUUCCAAAAUAUGGNNNNNNNNNNNNNNNNNNNNNNNNNNNNNNNNNNNNNNNNNNNNNNNNNNNNNNNNNAUAAUAUUUUAUUUUUGAUACGACCUAUUUAAGAAUGAAUGGAUCCUAUCAAAUUUGUAACGAUAAAAUAUAAUAUGUUACACAUGUUUAGUUACAAAAUAAUACCUUGACAAAAAAAAUGUUACAACAUAAUGCAGUUAAAAUUAAACCGCGCAAAAAUCGUAUAUAAUAAAUCCAAUGCUAAAAUCGUAUUUUUACACGCCUCCUAUUGCACAUCACCAUCUUUCGUUACCUUACAGAAAUUUGAGCUGUACAAUUAUAGCGCAGAUGAAUCCAAUGCUAAAUAUUUGGAGAGUGAAAUGAUAGAGAGGUGUGUUAUUUGAACAAAAAAUUUAGGACAACUUUGGCAACUUUGGGACGACUUUCAUUUCCUCUAUUCUCAUUGGAUAAAAACAAUAGAGAGGGAGAGAGAGAGAGAGAGAGAGAGAGAGAGAGAGAGAGAGAGAGAGAGAGAGAGAGACAUAGCUCAUUGAUACAGCAACAAACAUGAUUCAUCAUUUUGACAGUUAAAGUCAGGUGGAGCCAAGCAUGCAAUAGUGUCGAGAGACAUAGCUCAUAACUACAAAUCUCAACUUUCCCAGUGACGAGUUUCGGUUUAAUUUCACAGUUUCCAAAUUAACCUAUAGCGAACUGAAUACAAGAGAAUAGAGAGGGUGGACAUAAAAAAGGGAUAGUUUCUUUGAAGCUGAUUUGAAAAUGGGACCAAAUCUAAAUAUAAUAUGAAGUCAAUUUAAAAGAUCUCCAACUUGUGACCAAUCGAAGUAAUCGAUCAAUCCAUACGCAUAAGAUGAGAGUAAACUCAAUGGUACUAUAAAAAGGAAAAAAUGACCAAGAUAUUUCAUUUUACCUUAUUCGGUUCAAGUAUCAGAAUGAAUCCUAUCAUGCAAUCGAUAUAAGAGUGAUGAUUUGGACAUCUGAGGUUCCCUCUCUAAGACUGCAAUCACAUCCUUCACAGAGAUGUUACGAGCUAUCCGAGUUUGAGAUCCAGGGGAUUGAUUUUUCCCAAAUUUCCUAGCAGCCGCUGUUGGGAACAAGAUCGGUGACAUAAUAUCAGCAUAAAUGUUGCAGUGUAAUCAGACAAUGGGGAUACACACAUAUUGUAUUGUAUUUAGAGACCAUGGGGAUAUAGUUUUACUGUUUCAGUUUGAAUUUUAUAAUACUUUUUAGUGAUGAUAAUACAAUUUUUGUUAAACAUCACUUUUUCUACUUUGUUUGAGAAUUGGUGUUUUGGUUUAUUUUCCUACAUUGACAUUGGUAUUGCAACAAUAACUUAUAAGUUAGUUCAAUAUAUACUCGUUGAUUUUGGAUGAUGGCAGUACAUUCAGAGUUUUAGACUUUAUUUUGCUCUACUUCUUUUCUGCUAGGAAAGUGUGAAUUUUGCAGAGUUUUCGUUCUGCUGACUAAAUUGGAAUAUUAAGCAAUAAAUGUAUAAUUAAUGUUUAUCUUGAAGGAAAUAAUUAGUUAUAUAAGUUGUUUUAAGAUAUGCAUAAAAAUCAAUGCGACCAUGCGAACGCAAGAGGUAACUAACUAGUUUGAAUACGACGGUAAAGAUAGAAACACCAUUAAACUUGUAGACAACUGAAGUGGUAGGAAACAACAAAGAAACGCACCUGAAUUCCCAAGAGAAGUUGGACCUUUUCUCUCCCUUUCUUGAUUAUCUCUUGUGUUCCUUCCAGAUGAUGGUGAAGAUUUGCGACUGACAUCUUUAGCUGGCUGAGAACCAGAUGCAUUGUCCGUCCCCCCUUCGCGUUUUUGCUUGGCUUGCUCAGCCAUAAGUUGCCACUUUGACAGCAUGUCAUCUCCUCCAACAGCAGCUCGGGCUGCAACAUUUGCAGCAUUUGUCCUCAUCUUGUCAUCUACAUCCUUGUUCACCUACAACAAAUUACCAAUAAAAAAACUAGACUUUCCACAUAGAUAAAGGUGAAUUGCAUCAUCUAAAUUGAUAGCAGUACCUUUGUUCCUUUAUUGCGACCAUCAUCCUUCUCCUUGUCACCAUCAACUCCGGAACCACCGUCUACCUAUACAUAAAAAAUAGUUAUAUUAUGUCCUUAACUAAGCAAAAACUUCCGCAAAGUGACAAAGUGAAACCCACAUCAUUUAGUUUCCGGAGCUUGUCUGCUUCAGCCUGUUUUUUCUCCCACUCUUCCCUUGCUUUCCUAUUCAUUGUCAUGAUUUGCUGUCGAACAUCUGACGUGACAACAGUCCGAUGUCUUGUUUUCUCAAUAUCAACCCGCUGGUACGAAAACUUAUUGGAAUUAAAAAACUUUACAUAUUGACAAAAAGGCUACUCAUGCAAGCAGUUAGAGAAAAUAACUGACCUGUUUUGACAUUCUAAUUAUGUUACUUAUUACUCCACGCAUUCUCUCUUCCACACACUGAACAUUCAUUUUCAGCUGUAAGAUUACAUGGAAUCCUACUUGUAAUAGAUAUUGAAAAAGUAGUUUAAUCUCACCAGUGACAAGCAUUUUUCUACAUCAUUACUCAUGCCUUUCAAGCCAUACUCGGUCACUGCCAAGGUGACAAAAUAGAACAGCUAUAAGGCUUAUAAGUACAUAUCUAGAUAAGUUUGAAGAAUGGAAAGAAAAUCAGAUGAACAGAGUAAUGGCAUAAAUAUGACUCACUAAUCUCAAUCAACUUUCUCUGCAAUGGAGCUUUCAGCAAAAUCAGACUUUCCUCCUCUUCUUGCACAACUCUUCGAGAUGCUUCUGAAGCUCGACUGUCCUCCUUGGACCCAGAAAAUAACUGUUCUUCCUCUUCCUAUAAAAAUAUAACCCAAAAAUAGCCUGAGAUUUUAACACAGAAAAGUAUACAUUCCCGACUGUGGUUUUCUUCAAUAUGACAAAGUAUCAUACCCUAAGAUCAACACCACUAACAGCAGCAACAUCAUUAAGCUGUUCAAUGCUUUGUUCCAGAGAUGAGCCAGACACCUUUUGUUUCUUACUGCAGGAUAGCAAGCAGAUAUGCAUAUAUCAAAAUCAGUAAGAGAUCGCAAUAACUAAACCAGGAAGAAAAAAAAACACAAAUCAUGAACGAGCAGAAUAUUGCAACUCACCUUGGAGGGGGAGGUGAAGAACCAAGUGCUUCAAGUGGUUUCUUCUGGCCAAGAGGAGUUUUUUUUAGAGGUGCCUUUGCAUUAAUACCAGAAGUGCUAGCUGGGAUCUGAGAGCUUAACUGAUACAAAUGGAGGCAAGGAACUUGAGUAUCAGCAAGUAUUAAGAUAUCAUUAAAAACACGGAUGGAACAUAUCCUUGUAAACAAAAUGAUGGCGUGGUAUAUUCAAGAAAAACUUACAAAAAAAACUGAAUUCAUGUUUCCUAACAGAAAAAUGCUAUAAAACGUGGAAGCUUACUGACGUGAAACAAAACCUAAUGUAAAAUUCAGAAACAGAAUAAGAAAUCCUCUAAAACAAAAGAACAACCAAGAAAAGGAGAAAAUGAAUAAAGCUUCCCGAUCUCUCAAAAAGAAAUCAUAAUAUUUCACAGAAUUAUAACAAUAGGGGGGGAAAAUUUAUAAACAAUUCAAGCAGUUCAAGUAGAUUAAUACUAUUUCCUGGAUAAAAAUCACGCAGUAUUGGAAGAUUAUAGAAAGUAGAAAAAAAUCAAAGAAAACUCAGAGAAAUGCAGAAACUCUUCUAAGAAAGUGAUAUUCCAAUUAAUUAUUAACAGGUUGCAGAUAUUUAUACUAGUGCUAACAGCAUUCAAACUGCACACGAAGUGGUUAUAUUCUGUUACAACUGUCUAAUAGAGUCUGAAAAAGUAACUAACUAACGGAGAUGGGAAAGCUUAGGCUUGUGCUCCAAGUACAGAGACUAACACAACACAAUUUACUAGUAUUAUACCCACACAAAAAUUUAUUCAUCCUUAUAAAACUAGCUUGUAAUGUAAGGGGCGUAACUUUUUAUAAACUUUUUUCAGGGCUUGUCUUGUUUCAAUGUGAGACUUAUUUUUUUUUCCAAUGCACCUCAUGCUCAGCACAAUCGGGAUUGGUGGGAUUUCCCGAAUGGAUAACCUCUGAUUUCAUAUAAGGUUUAUUUAUUUUGAGUCCAACUCAUCCUUACAAAACUAGUUUGUAAGGUGAAGGGUCCACACUUUAUAAACCCUUCAAUUAAGUUAUAGAUUUCAUUUUGCAAUAAUACCUUUUAUUUUCUUAUGAAACAAGUUUCCAUGAAGGGUAUUUUGGAGAAUGCAAUCAUUUUUAUUAUUACAUCAAGGAAAAUAAUUGAGUUUAACCACUAUUCUUGAUUAUCGUAAUUCUUUUUCUUAUGUAGAAACCAGAGUAAUAUUGUAUCUUCCAAUAUUGAACAUAUAAUUUAUAUAACACCAACAUAGGGUGCAUCAUGCUCAUGACCAAGAAAACAAAAAAGAACAUUUGGAUACUGUUUGAUCCCCAAAACUUUAGGCAUCACAUCUUUUAGACAAAGACAUGCACAUUAGUUUAUAACUAAUGUUAAGAAAAAAAGUUUAUAACUUACAGAGACAGUUGGAUCUAGUUGAGAUGCAGAAGGGGCAGCAGAAUUUGGCGGCAAGCUAGCAGAUGUUGUAUGCGGCAUGCUAGUUGAUACUACAGAACCUCUUGAAAACUCAUCCUUUACAGGGCCUUGAUUGAUACCGCUACCCUGUUCAUUUUGACCAGAAUUAACAGAAGGCAACCCAUGCAAUUUCGACAAAUGAUGCCUGUGUUGCUGAUCAAUGGAAAGAUCAUUAGGUUCCUUUUUUACAUAUGACAUAGAUGUAAACAAGCCUGGAUUUUGUUCUGCUGAUGGUUGCCAAGAAUUUGAAUUUUGUUGUGAUGAUGUAUUGUUUACCACAGUCGGCACAGAUCCACCUGGCAUUCUCUUAGGAUCAUUGAAAGAACUCUGCCGUUCUACACCUAAGUGACUUAGACCAAUGUUCUGAUGUGGAAUUUGCCUCAUGUGCGAAUCAUGAGGAUGAGGUUGUGGUCUGAGAGAUGGUGAUGAACCAGUGGUUGUUCCAGAAAAAGGGAUAUAGUUACCACCACUGCUUCCAUAUGUCGAUGGGAAAUGUAUAUGCUGUUGUUGCUGCUUAUUAAGGCCUUGUAUGUGAACUGAGGAUCUUUCAGUUUCUUGACUAACGGCAUUAGAACUGGAUGAUGGUAAUUGAUUUGGUUGCACUACUCGAACAUCGUGUUCCUGAGGUUUUUUAGCACUAAUGUCCAUAGUCGAAUAGGUAGGCUCACUCUUCACUUGGAUACCCGAAGAAGUAUUAUGAGAAUGGUCUGGAGCAGCACUCAUACUUCUCUGAUGCAGUUGUGCUAAUGCAUGGGGAUCGUUAAACUUUGUUCCACUGGAAGUAACACUUGGCAUCCUUACAGGGUGCUGCUGUCCAGAAGAACCUGUGUUGGCUUUUGUCUGCAAGAAAAAAGGAUGGUUCUUAGCAUAACGUUGAAAUCGAAAUUCAACCACCUUGAGAUAAAACAUAUGAAAGACUGCAUAACCAUCUACUCUACCUACCUGUUGUUGCACUUUUGUUAAUGCUAUUCUAAGCAUCUGAUCCCCCACGAUCCCUUUCAUAAGCCGUACAAAAUUAUCUUUAGGUAUUUCAUCUCUCUGGAACAAAUGACAAAACAAAAGACUUAGUAAUAUGAAAAAGCAUUACACAACAAACUUUAAUUGUUUAGCAUAGAAGAGAGGGGGAAAGGACAUGAUAGUGAAACUGGUUCGAGAAUCCCACCUUCAAUUUGUUAAAUAAAGUUUGAAGUUGCAUGGCUCUGUCUUUGGCAAGUUGGGGAAUCAAAAUAGGGAGCAACAAGCCAAACGGUACCUGUUUACUACGAUUGACUUGGCUACUAGGUUGUUCAUUGACCGUGGCCUGUUGAUUACUCAUCUGCUGUAGCUUUGCAUACUGAGAUUCACAGUUGGGAUUACUUGUUUUGAUUGCCUCAUGGUUGAAGAUAGGAUCUUUUUCAGAUUUCAGAACUUCAUUUGUUUGAGGAUGUUGGUGGGAAACUUGUACAGUCUGGCGUUGGAGAAAUUCAUCUUGAGAUUUUUUGUGUGAUAAAGUAAGAUUACUUGCAUCCUGUGAGGCAACAUUCUGUAUUUGUUCCACGAUAGGUCCUUCUUGCUUCAGCACCAUUUCAGAGGAAGGUUGCUCUUGCAGCUGUGCAAUUUUAGGCUCCUGAUUUUGACAGUCAAUCUGGUUGUCAUGGCUAGAAGUUGGCCAAGUUGAUAAUGAUUGACUGAAUGAAUUAUUGCUUCCUUCAGAAAAAAAAUGAAGCAAUCAUCAAAGCACUGUGUGAAAGUGAUCAAAAUUUUAUCAAGCAAACAGAAAAAUAAGAAUCAACAGUCAAUAUAACAUUUCUAUACUCCGGUCCAGAUAUUCUGAUUAUCUAUUAAUACUGGACUCUUUUCUUUUUUUUUGACAAAAUUAAUACUGGACUCUUACAUAAUGAACAAUCGGAUACAAAAGUGCAAAUUCUUCUUUUUAAACAGUAAAUGAAAAUUAGAAGAAAAAUGUGAUAAAGACUGAGACAAAAGAUGACAAAUCAGGCCCCUGUCUGUUUAAAUUAGCAAACAUGAAAAUGACAUUUUAGAAGAUAAUAUGACAAGAAUCUUAACGAGAGUUACUACUUAAAAUAGUCAACAAAAGGACAAGGAAUCAACCGUGCAGAUAUUUUUUUGAAGAAAGAAGCACUAGCGGUGAUUGAUAGAUUGAUAUUGAAAUGAGAAUUCAUCAAGUAUUUUAAGCUGGGGGACAGAUAUGUGAAACCCAUUUCUGCAAUCAUAUCUUGAUUCAUACAGAUCCAAACACAGUCGAUACAGAUCAAACUGUAAAUCUCUUUUGGACUUGGAAUGGAGCAUGAAUCUCAAUUUGCUCUUUUUUUUUUUUUAAAUGGCACAUGUUGGCAAUCAAUUGUUAGCAACGUUAUUGGGAGGGAGUUAAACUCACAACCCUUUAUCUCUCAAACCCUUAUGAUCCUCCCCAGACCCGCAGACCACCUCAUCACUCCUACAAAUUUUAAUCAUGUAUUGUUUUGAAAUUCAUAAUGAUAUAUCAGUUUUCAUUUUGUUUGCUUAUUCACUUUUUUUUAUUUACAAAUGCCAUAUUUUUACUGGCGUGUGUAUUUCUAUUUUCUACCAAUUUUAAUGCAAAAAGGAAAAAGGACGGAAGCUAACUAAUUCGUAAGAAUUAUAACGUAAAUUGAUGGAUACCUGCAUCUGAAUCAGAAAGCUGAGAAUUAGAAGCAUCUCCACCUAUGUCUCUAUUCAAUGCAGCUUGGAACGCUUCCACAUCUGCCCCUGAAUGCAUAGUUUCGUCCUGUGGACAUCAAAACACAGUGAUGGUACAAGUUAAGCCCCAAUUCAAAGUCAGCAGAUGUUUUCUGGAAAGUAUAUAGUAGAGAGGAGAAAACCUCAUCAUCUUCAAGAAGCUUCACUAUAGAUGGGUCCAUAGCAGCGCGCCGUUUUCUUUGUUGCUCUUUUAUACCAACCGCAAUUCAGAUAUUUUCUUUACGCAAGCUCAUAAAAGAAGCAGCUGAAAAUGGUGCCAUCAACAUAUGUAUUAGGUUAUAUGCAUAAAAAAUUCAGGAUUAUUUGAUUAUUUGUUUUACUAACACAUUUAGAACCACAGGGUUAAGAGAAUUCAAUUCAUUUCCCAACAAAGAUGAGGGGAUUCAUACAAAAUUAUUCAAGACGUAGUCAAAAUUAUUCAUAAUUUGACUCGAACUUUGCACUUUGCAUUUGAGUAAUUAUUCAUAAAUUCACAAAAGACACUUUUUCACUCUUCUAUUGUUAUUCACAUACUUUUCACAAUUACCCAAUUAAAUUAAAUUGAAUUAAAUAAAAGCACAUUACAAACAAAGAGGAAGAAGGUACAAAACAACACCUAAAAAUCAAAGAAGCGGUGCUAUUUUUUCUGUCUCAGGGAGGAAGGAAAUACAGUUUUCAGUUUGAAGUCUUAGCAAAAUAAUCUAAAGCACAUAUGAUUAUGCUGCACCUUUAGGUGGCAACCAGAUAGAAUUUCAAACUUGUUUAGAUAACUCCAAGCACUAACAGUCAAAACUGACUCACUACUUUAGAAAUUGCACCUUUCUAAAUUUUAUAAUUUGACGUUCUAACUUUGAGAUGAUAUGCAAGGGUGGUGUUAUUUCCUUCAUAACCACAUUAUCCGUGUACCCUCCGUUUAACAAGCCAAAAACUAGAGCAGUGUAUGUUACAAUAUCUGGUUCUAGUCGUAGGUCAAUCAUUUCAUUAAAGAAUGUAAUUGCGUUUUGAAAGUUAUAAAUCUUUAGGUGCCCAUCAAUCAUAACAGUGUAAGUAACAACAUCUGGACUAAUUCCCAUUUGCUUCAUGUCUCCCCAGAUAGUCAAAAUAUUGUACAUUGCAUCCUUUCCUUUUCUGUGUCGAGAAUAGAAAUGUUUUAGUCCCACAUCGAGUAGAACUGUGUAUGUAACGACAUCAGGUUUGAUCCCUCUGAUCUCCAUAUCUUGGAAGAGGUCAUGAGCCUCUUGCAAGCAAUUCAUUUCACAAUAACUUUUUAUCAUAAUUGUGUAAGUUACAACGUCAGGCGUAAAUCCUUUCUCAACGAAAAAAUCAAACAAAGAGCGAGCAUGUUUCAUAUUCUCUGCUUGGCACAAUGCAGUUAAUACUUUAGAAUACAUUACUUUGCUAAGUUGCUUAAAACCAGAACUUUCUUUUGCAAUAUCUCCUCGGUUUGAAAUCUCACAGAAAAUUUCAUAUGAUUUUUCAAUAAGGCCAGCCUGACAAUAGCCAUUAACCAUGGCAGUAUAGAUUUCGACACCUUCAUCUUUCCGACAGUUAAAAUAUGCCUCAGCAUCUUCAACCAUGCCCGCUGAACACAAACCUUCAAUGGUAAUCUUAUGUGUAAUGGAGUUUGGCUUCACACCUUGACUAUCCAUAUAACUCAAAAGGUCAACUGCUUCACGAUCACGGCGAUUUCUAAACAAACCGGCAACUAGUACAUUAUAAGCAACACCAUCAGGUUUAAAUCCAUUUUCCUCCAUUUCUUUGAAAACACUAUAGGCUACAUCGGUUUUACCUUGAAGACAGUAACCACUAAUAAAGGUUGUGUAGUGUUUGAUAUCUACAUCGAUAUGCGUGGAUUUCAACUCCUCCAACAUACCUACUGCUACAUCCACCUUACCCAAUUUACACAAAGAAUUAAAAACAAUGUUGUAUGCUACCCCAUCAAGAAACACACCCAACCGCUUUAAUUCUUUAAAUGCAUCUACAACUUCUGAAUACAUACCAAUCUCUCCCGAGCAAUGAAGGAUACAACUAGCAAUCACACAAGUUGUCUUUAUACCCUUCGAAAUCAUGUCCUCGUGUAAUUUGAAAGCUUUACCCAAAUCAUUGCUCUUACAGUAUCCACGGAUCAACGAAGAAUAAACAUGCGAAUCAGGAACAAGUCCCUUCCAUUUCAUGUCAUAAAACACAUCCUCGGCUUUAUCUAAUUUCAUUUCAUUACAAAACCCGCGAAUAACUGCGGCAUAGGCAUAAACCUCAAUAGGAGCGUUCAUCUUUCUAUGAUAUUGGAGCACUUCAUAUCCCAAAUCAGACAUAUGAUUAUUACACAGCCCCUCAAUAUAAGCUUUGUAACAAUACGAAUUGGGAGUCACACCAGCAUCCAUCAUUUCAUCAAACACACGAACAACGUAUUUCAAACAAUCAACCUUCUUACACAAUGCCUUGAUAAUAAUGCCAUAAGUGUGAUGAUUAGGACACAAACCAAGCCUCUUAAUUCGACCAUAAACGUCCAAAGCCAUAUCAAUUUUAUCAUAAUUAACCAAACGGUUAAUAAGAAAAUUACAAGCAAACAUAGUUGGAAAAAUCCUAAACCUCUCAAUUUGAAAUUGAAACAAGAACUCAACACUUUCAUCAAACAUGUUAAGACCAACAUAAGCUUUAACAACCCCAUCAAAAGCUCUAACAAAGUAACAAUUUUUAUUAUCAAAAUCAACACUCUCUACUAGUUUCUCAAACAAUUCAUGAACUUCAAAUAAUGGGUUUUGUUGGGAACAACGAGAAAUUAUAUCGCGAAGAAGAGAAUCCAAACUUGUAUUCAAAUUCCAAUAACAUAGUAUUCUAAUGAAAGAAGCAUAGGUUUGAAUAUUGUGUGUGAAACCAUGUUGGUUAAGUUGAGUAAAGUAAGAGAGUGCAAGUGAAGGGUUGUUACGAUAAAGGUAGAGUCAUUGGAGGACUUUGAAGGUGUUAGGAUCAAAAGAUGAGAAAUUUUGAGGUUUAGUGAAAUGGGUUUGUGAGGAAGAAAGUGCAAGAGAAGUGGAAGAAGAAAAAGUGAAUUUUUUGUUGCAGUGAAUGGUUUUGGUUUUGGUUUUGGAGAAUGAGUUUUUGAAGAGAGGAAGAAUAAUGAAAGAAGGUAAAUGCAAGAGACGACACAACAUACCAGUGGUGUUGCGUGCGGCUGAGUUUCGGCGAGGCUACGGCGGCGAGGAACAAAACAUUCAGAGUUCGGGCGACGGUAACAAAACACAAAAUUGAUUACCAACCAACAACAAAUUCAACAAUCUAAUGAGAAUAACGAUAAUGCAACGCAAAUCGAACACAUGGCGAAGAUUAGAUGGCAAAAUUAUCAGGAACAAGCAAAUUGAAGACAGGGUGAUACUAGGAACAAAGAGCAAACAUCAAAACAUAAAACAGAAACAAAAUCGAACCUGGGUUGUUGCAGAGCAGAGGGUGAUUCGUGUUUCUAAUGGAAAAAACGCUUUCGUGAGCUCUCUUAUAAAUAUAUUUUCUUCAAAAAUUGAUUUAUUUUACUAACAAAAAAGAUGUAUUUAUUUUAUGGGUAUAGGUAUAUUUGUACAGUAUUUUAUUUUGACAGUAUUCAGCGAUCAAGAUUUCCUGACUUUAGAGCACCAAGGCAUGGUGUCCUUGCCUCAACACUGUCGGUCAGAUAAAUCACACAAUCCAAAACAUGUCACGUGUCCCUUUUUUCAUUUCAUUUAAAUAAGAUCUAAUUGCCCUUUUAAUCCUCUUAUUUUAUUAUUAUUGUGAAAUUAGUCUCUUUAUUUCAAAAAUAAAAAUCUUAGCGUCUCAGUCCCUAUGAGUUUAGAUCAGUUGGUAGGGACAUCGAACUAUAUGUGCAGAACCCGGAUUCGAACCCGGGACACUCCACUUAUUCAUCUUUAAGGUAUAUUUUCUAGCCACUAANNNNNNNNNNNNNNNNNNNNAAAAAAAAAAUAGUGUCUCAAUUUUGACAUUUAUUGCAGUUUUGCACCCCACUAGGCCUCCACUGUCCCGAUUCAUAUCAAUUGUAUGUCCACCUAUUAUAUUGGAUGGUAAAUUUAAUCCCUUAUUAUUUUCUUUAUAAACGGCGUGCAACUGCAUAAACUAAUCCCCUCGAAGUACUGAGAUCGAUUUAAGGGAUCCAAGUAUCUAUCACUUGUGUCACAUUAUAUUGGUAAUCCCUUAUUUAUUUAUUUUUAGUUGUCAUUAUAUUGUAUUUCACCAUCAUUUUUAAUUAUCAUGAUAAUGAUAGUACAAUUUUUUCUAUGCAACCCCAGAUGUUUUGUCAGAUUGACAUAUAUCUCUCAAUAGUUUGAUCGAUUUUGAAUGUGUGUCGGUUGUUUCUUUAAUUUUGCAGCCUCAUGUGCCUUACUUUUUCAAUAUGCUUUAUGAGUGCUUGAGUUCUAUGGCUUGAGUUCAAAGUUUCGAUAAUGUUCUUCUCUCUUAAGACAGAUUAUCUCGCCUGUUGAUUGUCUUUUGGUUUCAUAUUCAAACGAUACCAAAGCGACUAUAAUAGUAGUAUUAUGUGUGCAGUUCUUUAUCGAAAAUUUAAGCAAGGUUUUUCAGUCUGAGAUUUGAGAUUAGUGGAUGUUUCACCUACGAGGUUUUUCAACCAUAUUGCAUCAUUUCGAAAUCUAGGUUCAGAAGCUAAUUCCAUUCUGGUUUCUGCUAGGAUCAAAUUUAGGGGCAUUUUUUAUUUUUGGGGGGGCUGAGAGCAAUACAUGGGGCCUAAAGAGCAAUUUUCUACUAGGUAGCGAGGAAGCUUGAAUUGGGCUUUAAAAGUCGUAUUUCCUUUUAUUCAACAAGCCCAUUAAUGAAUAUAUUUAGAGAAUUUAUUUUGGCACCCACUAAGUUUUUUUGCACGUCCAUAAAAUUACAAAAAUAUCCCUUAUGCUACUUAAUUAGUGGAUGUGUAAAAUAUUGAAAUCUUGUUAGUUGUUACGGGUGUUUUUUUUUUUUCUUCUCAAAUUUCCCAUUUUUAUAAUGUUCGUUAUUUGGCAAACAUUUAAAAUAGAUCCAAAAUAAUAGUUUUUAAAUCCAAAAUAAUAGUUUUUUUUUGUUAUUUUAAAACGUAAGAUCCAAACACUGGGUUAUAUGAUGUUAGGUUUGGGUAUGGGCUCUUAUCGAGCCGCUUUAUUUCAUUUGAUUAGUCAUGCUUAUUCAAAAGCAUUGUUGUUUUUAGGAUCUGGAUCCAUUAUUCACUCAAUGGAAGCUAUUGUUGGAUAUUCUCCAGAUAAAAGUCAAAAUAUGGUUCUUAUGGGUGGUUUAAGAAAACAUGCGCAUAAAACAAGUUUUUUUCUCCUUGCGAACCCUGAACCUCCAACUCCUUUAACCCUUAAUUCAACUAACUUAACCAAUUGAGCUACUCAUCUCACCCGCCUUUAGUUGAUUAACCAACAUCAAGCAACUAUCAUAACUAAGUUUUAUCGUCCCAAUAAUUAAAAAUAUGGCAUACACAUUCAUGAUUUCCAUAAACCAAUCACUAAUGAUGUAAAGGAUUUUCAUAUCUCGCUUGAGCUUAACUUUAAAGGCUACAUUUCAUAACAUGAAUAACAGAUGAAUUAUAAUUCAUCAAUCAGUCCAACACAUACAUGAUUAAUAAUCAAACACAAGAAUAAAAAAAAUGAGGGGCUGUAUGACUGCAUUGUAGUCAAUCAUCAUAUCUUCUCUUUGAUCUUGAUCAAAUUGUCCAAACUUAAACUCAACUUUUAAAUUUUAAAACAGCUAAAAUUGCAACUUCGAAGUUGCAAUUGCUUUUUUAUUUUUUAUGUCGGUUGGAGUUCCCAAGGUCGUCUAUUUAAUGACGAGAGACGAUGAGGAAUCUUGGACUGAUUUAUACCAUCGAUUUUACGAAGAAAGACUUUUAUUUUUAGGUGAGACCUUAAACUGGACCUAAAAAAUUCCAACCAGUUUAAUCUAGUUCAUAUGCGCUAACUGCAUUGAAUUUAUAUCCUCAUUUCAACAUAUUAGACACAUUCUGUUUUAUUUACCAAUUGUUUUUUUCUUUCACCACGAGUUUAAUCUGAUUCGGGGAUCAGUUCUGACAUCAAGUGGUUUUAGCCCCUCCUGAUCGCAAUUGCGAGGAAUCGAACCAUGAUCCUCCCUAUUAAGUUUAACGCUAAUCAUCACUAAACAAAGUAACUAUUGAUGUUUUAUUUACCAAUUUUAAUGUUACAUACCGCGUGCAAUUGGUAUUUGGCAAUAGGUAAGAAUUGAAUAUGCAAUAAAGAAGACCACUACGGAUUGAACUCUUGAGCUGGAGAUAAACAUGGUAAAUUAUAGACACGUACACGGCAUUAUUACAUCAAACCGAAAUUUACAAUGCGCGCAUAUGGUAAAUAAUGGCAUGAAAAUUCAAUUCAAUUGUGGUAUCUCACAUACACACCUGUAAAGGAAGCUUCCAUUCAUCUUUGAUUCAUGCACAUGUAAGUUAGUAUAGUUAAACGUAUGGAACCAAAAUUUCGGCCUUAAACAUUCCUAUAGCCUAAUUAGGAAUAUUCAUUUCAAUGACGCGUCACAAGACUAACCAAAUACUGUACACAAUAGGAAAAUUUUAUUCUAUUGAAAAAUCAUUAUUAUAGGAUGAGUAAAUAGCACGUGUCUUUAUCAUCCCAGCUUCAACAAAGGUCAAAACCAAUUCAUCGUCCUUAAUCCUUAUCCACAUACCAAACACGACACAUCCAUCCUGUGUUUCACCCAUCUCAUCCACUCAGUUACUUAGUUCCAUCGUUUAACCACUCACAUUACUCGCAAUCUUAAUUGCUAGUAAGACACAACACAAGAUAAGAUACCAUUAACUCUGCCAACAGUAAAAACCGUCACACGCUUUCAAGAAAGAAUCAAACAAACACGUGGCAUUAAUUGAAUUAAUUAAUUAUUUCGGUGCCGAUCACGCGGUUCUGCUGUUCUGUUUCAGAAUCGUUCUAAAUUACUAUCAAAGACAUCAAUGAAAUUGAAAUCAUAUACUACAAACAUAAAAAUCGAUAAAUUUCCAUAAAUUAAAUAAAAAUAAUUAAUCAAUUGAAUUUGAAUUGAAUUGAAUUGUCUAAGUACACAAUCUUCUAAAUUCUAAAACCAAUCCCAAUUUGUAUAUACAGAACAAAUUGAUCCCAAAUAAUCGAAAAAUAAAUUAAAAUAACUAUGAUAAUAAUAAACUUAGAUAGAUCUAUAUUGAUCACAAAAUCACAAUGAUCAAUAUUGAGGAAUUUCAAUCUUGAAAAGACAUGGCUUCUUAGCUGCAGGAUGAGGACUGGAAACCUCAUCAUCCACGAAAAACUUCUUUGAAAAGUCCGGAAAAGCCGGGAGGUUAAGAUCAAAAUCACGGUGUUGACUGUGAGAAGAUCCAACUUCAGAAGCAGUUACGGUGCUGUUUCCACCACCGGCACCGGCACCGGCACCACCUUCAUAGUGACAACGCUUGUGUCCUCCCAAAGCUUGUCCAGUAGGAAAGGAUUUAUGACAAAUGGAACAUUCAUGAGACUUGAUCUUACCGUUGGAUGCAGCAGAGCUUGUAGUCACAGCGGAUGAGGUUGUUGUAGUCUGAUGAUCUUCACCAGUUGACAUAACAGCACUUUUCCGAUGACUGGCUUUGUGUCCACCAAGUGCUUGAUAAGAUGAAAAAGCUUUGUUGCAAACAGAGCAUUUGUGACUGAGUUUAGCGGGUGCUGAUUCGGUGUCAGAUAGAGCAGGUUUGACGGCGGUGGGAAGAGUAAUAAUCUUGUUGUUGUUGUUGUUGUUUCCGCUGCGAGCGAGCAUGAUGAGACAGAGAGCGAGAUACUCUUCCUCAGUACAAGAAGAUUGAUCCAUACGAGAACGUUUAGAACGUUUACCUUUAGUCCAAGGUGCAGCAUCGAUGUAACCGUGAUUUGGUUCCUCGAAAGGAGUGAAAGGAGUAGCGGUGGUGGGAGAGUUAAGCGCUUCCAUAGCCAUAAGAAAGAUUAUGAAACAGACAGAAUAUUCAAGAGUUGGUUAGCGUUACGCAAAUGAAAGUAGAAAAGGUUUAAGUUGUUGAGAGAGAGAGAGAAGUGAUUAUGAUUAAUUUUUUUGGAGUGUGAUAGUGAAGAAUAGGUGAGGUGUGGUUGGGUUUAUAUACAAUGAGGAGAGUGAAGAGGUGAGGAUUGUAGUGGAAGUUACUUGACAGGUGCAGAGAAAGUAGGCGCAAAUAGAAAAUAAGUUAAUUGAGUAGAUUAUUACAUGUGGAGAAGCUUGGUGCACGUGUUUUACAAUAGUUUUCAAAGGUGGCCAGUAGUAGUAGUAGUGGACCUUCUCAUCAGUCAAAUAAAGUGUUGUUGUACCGACUGCAGUUUUUUUUUUUUAAAAGCGAGUAAGAUUAGAUAGAGAUAGAACAAGUGACUUGUACAAGAUGUCAAGAUGUAAGACUUUUCAACCUCUCUCUGAAGUCUUAAGUAUGUGGUUGUGUUGUAGGUUUAAUUUUUAACCAUAAAGUAAGUUUCACGUCGGUUGUGACCGUAAAGUAAAGACAAUUUUUAUUUCACUAUCCAAUUUUGUAAGAAUGAUUUAGGCUCAACUCAAUUCUAAGAUUGAUAAUUGUCUAUAAACAAUGGAUGUAUCUGAUAAUUAGGAACAAACAUGCCGUUAUGGAGUUUGUGGUCGAACGGUUUAAAAAAAUAUAAACUUAAUUUUUAUUUAAUAANNNNNNNNNNNNNNNNNNNNNNNNNNNNNNNNNNNNNNNNNNNNNNNNNNNNNNNNNNNNNNNNNNNNNNNNNNNNNNNNNNNNNNNNNNNNNNNNNNNNNNNNNNNNNNNNNNNNNNNNNNNNNNNNNNNNNNNNNNNNNNNNNNNNNNNNNNNNNNNNNNNNNNNNNNNNNNNNNNNNNNNNNNNNNNNNNNNNNNNNNNNNNNNNNNNNNNNNNNNNNNNNNNNNNNNNNNNNNNNNNNNNNNNNNNNNNNNNNNNNNNNNNNNNNNNNNNNNNNNNNNNNNNNNNNNNNNNNNNNNNNNNNNNNNNNNNNNNNNNNNNNNNNNNNNNNNNNNNNNNNNNNNNNNNNNNNNNNNNNNNNNNNNNNNNNNNNNNNNNNNNNNNNNNNNNNNNNNNNNNNNAGAUUGAUAAUUGUCUAUAAAUAAUGGAUGUAUCUGAUAAUUAGGAACAAACAUGCCGUUAUAGAGUUUGUGGUCGAACGGUUUAAAAAAAUAUAAACUUAAUUUUUAUUUAAUAAUUUUAUAAAUACUGUUUUUAAAUCAAUAGUACCAAACCCACUUGGGUUGGUACAUUGGUAUUGGCUUGGGACCUGAGAGUGUGCUCCUCUUGAGAUCUGAGGUUCGAUUCUCUCUGGCGCCAAUUUGGGUAGGCUAAUUUAACUUUUUCAAAAAAAAAAUCAAUAGUAUCAUUUAAUUUGAUCAGACAGUCACUAAUAUUAGAUUGUGUGGCUAUAUAUUUUUUUACUGCACCUAAAUCAGAUCCCAUGUAAUAUAGCUAUCGUAAAAUGAAGAUAAUAUGAACAAGUCUUUUUUAUCUUAGCUAAAAUUUGGUAUUUGAAUUUUAAUUUUUACAAGCAAAAAUGUUAAAAGUUUCAGGAAAAUUUGUGUUUGCAAUUUGGCAUAUACUAGUAUAGUAUAAUAUAGAGAUAGUAAGGAAGACUGACUCUACAUUCAAAAGUCAAAAUGAGGGAAAAGUAUAAUAACAAUUUUUCUUUUAUUGUUUUUAAUUGAGAUUAAAUGUGAUUAAGGAAGUUGGUCCGAAACAAUGUUUGUCAACAGCCACCGGUAGGACAGUGGGAACUAGCCACCAACGACUUUUCUUAGUCAAUGUCACAGUAGCCGACUUUAAAUAACUUUGUAUACAUAGCACUGUUUCCAUUUUACAACUUGGUAAGUGAGUCUUUGAGUUUGAUUAAUUCAUCAUCUAUGGUUCGGUGUAUAUGCAAUAUUAAUAUGGAUGCAAAUGGCAUUCAAAUUAUGAAUAAUUAAUAUUAUAUUAAAAUUUGAGAACAAAUUGGGGCACUGCAUGCCGUUUGUCACGGUGAGAGGAGAGUAAGAUAACCGGCCAGAUCACAUGAAGGAUUUUUGCUAAAUAAGCGUCAGCAACAGCAUGUGGAGGGAGGGUCUGUUUGUUAUUAUGUAACCUAACCUCUCUCAAUUGAUUAUAACUAUUGCCUGUUUGGUGUCUUACCAUAAAAUGAAUACUUAAGGUUAGAGCUUGCUAGAAACUAAUAACACUAAACAUGUAGAACCUAAUUUGCCGUAUUGAAUAAGAUUGUUUGGCAAAUUGAUUAUAUUUUGAAUCGGCUAAAAGCCCAACAUACGAGAAGGUCCAUCCAAAUGAGAUAAAAAUAAACAUGUGGCAACGCGACCAUGACAAACAUACAAACGAGCACAGAUUAAAGGUGAACUGCCUAAACCGUCCUCAAGUGCUUGUACGGAAGGACAAUACAUGUGUUAUCUGUGGCUGAUCCACUACACAUGGGGGACCUCACAGUACUGUAAACUCUAAUAUCCUCUCGUAUAUAAACACUCAUACAUCAAUUCCUAGGUAUGACAUUUUGCGCCUCCAGUUACACUCUUUAAAUCUCUUUCAUAUACUGACUUGAGCGUCGGAGUGCUACCAUGACUGCAGGUACCCUUCCCUCCAACGCUUCAAUGCCGAAAUCGUCAAACUCUCACGACCAUCAUCAACACUCUACCAUCAGUUGAGAUGUCGCUGUUCAAAAGUUGACCCAUUCAGCUCAAUCCAUUUCUGAAACCUAGUUCAGAUUAUAUCAGCACAACAUGAACGUAAUUAUCUCGUUUAUCUUUAUUUUAAAAAUUAAAAUUAUCUCGUCCUGUGAGCCCAACUCAGUUGGCAUGGAUAUUGCACCAUACAUAUCCGGGAAUUUAAACUCUUAACACUCGACUUAUUCAUCUUUCUAACCACUAGAAGAAAAAAAAAUUACCUCAACAUUUUCACACUUAUUUUCUUUCUCCUAAAAAAACUUUUUUUAAAAAAAAAAAUACUCUUAACAAACUGAUGCAAUGCUCUUAAAAAUUAUUAUUAUUUAAAAAAAAAUGAUUUAUUUUUUCUUCUAGAAAAACCCUGAAGUGAAGCUUCAAGGUGGAAUUGGGGAAGGUUCAAGUGACAGUAAAUUUUGGGUGGAAUGAGAUUUUCUAUGUUGAUUUUUGACUUUACUAUAAUUGGAAAUUUAACCAAUGGAUAAGGUUAAGAACAUGCAACCACGAAGUUUGUUUCCUUUUGAAUUCUUUCAGUUCACUUAUGUGGAAAAUUUUCAAAACAAAAAAAGUCUAGAAACCAGUAAUGCUAUUGGAUUUUGGAAAGCUAACCAGGCAAAGAUUGUUAAAGAAAAAUGAGCCAAACAUUCAGUUUCACAUGUGCACUUGUCGAAUCAUUUUUAUACCGUGUUCAUAGUCAAAUUUAUGGUAUUGAGACAUCUAUUGUAUGAUAGUUUUUUUUAUUUUUUUUUUUUAAACAAACUGGAGAUUGAACCCAGGAUCUAUAACGUACUACUCAAACUUCUUACCACUAGAUCAAACCUAGUGACUUGUAUUUUAUGAUACUAUUUUUGGAUUUGAAUUCUCUUAUGUCUUUUCUUUUAUGAUAGCUGUUUAUGUUGAUUCGAAAUUAACAUCAAUUUCAAAGAAUUGUCUAUUACAUCUACGUCUACUUCGUUGGAUAGAUAUGAUAUUCAUGAUUGUGUUGGGCCAAAAUGGGUAUUCAUCCAAGAAGUUCAAUAUCGAGUAGUUGGAAGAAAAAUAGAAGUAGAAAGUUAUUAUAAAUAUGGAGAGUUAUAUUGAGUUUUGUUCACCACAACAACUCUAUUCUUAUAGAAUUAUUGUAGUUGUGAGUCAUGGGAGGACGGUUUGCAAAUUUUCCAUGCAAAAAUUAAAGUUGAGAUGGUUUGCAAUUUUAGUGCGUGUAAAAAAUUGCAAUUGUGUGUGAGAGUUUUAUAGGUUGCAAUUUCACCUUGUCAAAAUUGCAAAUUUAGUUUUAUAUUAUUGCAGAUUUGGUAGUAAAAUAUUAUUGUGAGUUGAUUUUGUUUGGUUUUAUUUAUUGGUUGAAUAUUCUAUUUGUUUUUAUUUAUUGCGUGGAGAUUUUUUUUUUUUUUUGAAUGUUUUCCCAACAGUUUGCUCCGUAUUCGUGUGGCCGUGUGGGUAUUCGCUUAGCGGAUAAUCCAUGGAUUUUGAUAUAUCCGCAAAUAUUUAUGGAUAUUCAUGGAUGAAAUGAAAAAUUAAGAUUUUUUUAUUGUAAGUGAAAAGUUGUAAGAAGAUGAUGAAAUUUUUUACCUCAAAAGAUGAAAAAAUAAAGUAAAAAAAUUUCUCAAUUAAAUAUGGAGAAAAAACACAAAAAUACAAGAAGAACUUUUUUUAUACAAUAAAAAUACUAGAGUUUAUAUUUAAAUAGGAACAUUUACGUAAUUUUACUAAUUUAUUAGUGGGUAUGGAUAUCUGUGGGCACAAAUAGUAUUAACCCGCAUCUGUAUUCAUUAUAUACGAAUAAUUGAAAUAUCCAUUUAUUUUAUCCGGUCAUAUCCUAUAAACCCGUGGCGAAUUUUAUCCGUACGUGGAUAUCCAUGGGUACGAAUUUUUUUGUCAUCCCUAUUCAUAGACUAUAAUAAAAUUUUACAUAAUCAAUUCAUUACAAAUCUUUUUUUCUUCGUAGAACCAAACAUAGACCAUAUAACAAAUUUCAUCAAAGUAAAAAAAAAAUUCAAGCAAAUUAGUACCAUUUUACUUAUCAAAUGUGUAAUUUGCUGUCACAUUAGUUUCUCAAUGUAUCAAAAUUUGGGCUGAGAAUGGACCCGCGACCCGACGCGAAAUCGGCAUAACAACCAACAUUUGGAAGCACUCGGUCGGGUGUGGGUCUGGUCUCGAGUCAAUAAUUGUAAAAUAUCAGUCAUGGAUGCUUAUAUACAGACGGGUGUGAGUCUCUAAAAAUUCAUCUUUUCAUAAUCGAAACCAACCAAAGAAUUACUACUAAAAUGCAAUUUUUUUCUUCCGGUUUCGAGCACAUCCUCCCUCUCUCUCUCUCUCUCUCUCAAUCUCUUAUAUUCUUCCCUUUAUUAUGUUUAGCUAUCUUUGAUAGAGAUGAAUGUUAUAUUUUAGAAGCUUAACUUGUAAAUAUGUUGAUAAAGAAUAUGUGAAAGAUAAUAUUAUAGAUUUAUCUUAAUUUAUACUUCUCAUCUACUUAAUCUAUUAUUGUAACAAGGUAACUACAUCUUUUCCUUUUUGUUGUAUCAUAUUGUAUGUUGUAUUGUGUACGAAAUAUUGAACAUUUGAAGAAUAUGAAUUUUUUGAUCAACGAAAUUUUAGAUGAAACAACAAAGUUUCAAGUUAACCCGUUAAAACCGACCCGUUAUAUUUGUCACUAGAAUGACUCGACACCAGAACAAACUGAAGAUAUAGAUGAUCGAACUUGGGUUUGAAUUAAGAGGUUGUGGUUUU